Molecule: ribosomal RNA, 301 nt
Filed under: uncultured bacterium
Lineage: Bacteria
Description: partial 16S ribosomal RNA
Rfam family: Bacterial small subunit ribosomal RNA
Source: RNAcentral
CAGUCGCCGCGGGAAUACGAAGGGUGCAAGCGUUAAUCGGAAUUACUGGGCGUAAAGCGUGCGUAGGCGGUUUGUUAAGUCUGCUGUGAAAUCCCCGGGCUCAACCUGGGAAUGGCAGUGGAUACUGGCAAGCUAGAGUGUGUCAGAGGAUGGUGGAAUUCCCGGUGUAGCGGUGAAAUGCGUAGAGAUCGGGAGGAACAUCAGUGGCGAAGGCGGCCAUCUGGGGCAACACUGACGCUGAGGCACGAAAGCGUGGGGAGCAAACAGGAUUAGAUACCCCCGUAGUCCCUGUCUCUUAUAC